This is a long non-coding RNA of Lolium rigidum, 2851 nucleotides long. RefSeq lists it as uncharacterized. The record is from RefSeq and is a predicted model, not a curated record. The transcript is spliced from 3 exons. NCBI's taxonomy places the organism in Eukaryota, Viridiplantae, Streptophyta, Magnoliopsida, Poales, Poaceae.
CCCUAUCCCCUCCUCUCCCGGCUCCUCCGCCAUGCCUCAUCCACUUCCACUGCGCCGCCUCUUCUCCACGGCCUCCUCCUCCUCCACCAUUCAUGUUGUCUUCUGAACCAUCACCGCCCACCUUGAGUGGAGCAAAGGAACAUGGAGGUCAUGGAGUUGCGGAGGUUCAGCGCCGUGUGGUGGCAGGGACGGGACAUUUUCGCCCGCCGUGCCUGAUUCGGUGCUGCAACGGCGGGGGUCAAGGGGCUCCACGGAGGCCACACUCUCCCGGAGGUUCGAGAUCAAGCCGGAUCUGCACGUCACCUACCUAUGUGAAAAUAUUUCAGCACAUAUGCGUUCUUUUGGUUCUUACAGUCCCCUUUCACCUAUGUUUCUAUUUCAUUGGGAUCCACUAGGUCGGUGCCGCCACCAUGGACCAGGCUUGGUCAGCCUGUGCAACCCCAUCGUCAUGUCUGUGCCACCUAUGGACAAGACCGAGGAGAUGGUCCGCCUCGAGCUGGAGGACAAGCGCAUCCCCUCAGCUACCAUCUGUGAGAUGCAGAACCGGAACAUCGUCAGGUAUGUGCCUCCAUCUUGUCAUCCUCUCUUUCCCUGGGCUACGGCCGCUGGCAGCAUCAGGUUUGGUGUACAUUUGGUUGCUACCGAAUGGAUGGAUGGGUUGAGUUCAAUGGUUUGUAUACUGUAUGCGAUCCCUAAAAAUUGUUCAGAAAUGCAAGCGCAGGUUUGGAACAUAGCAGGUAUGGUAUGUAUAAGAAAAGGUUUUUGUUUUAUUUGAUAAUGAAUCAUAUUUUUAUUUCCUAAUUGAUAGGCCAAAGCUUUAGUUCCAAUGUUCUUUAUUGUUUCGCCAGUACCAAUUGAACUCUUCUAAGAUCGUGUGAUAAACUUUUAGUGGCACAUGUAUCACACUCAGGUGAUCAUUUGUUCAGGCACAUGUAUCGGGUUGUUUGAUAGAAGAACUGAAGUGCAAGGGACAGUAGUAUUACUAUGCACUUUUCAAUUCUCAGUAUGGCUGGUACUUUGGUUUGUCAAUUUUGUAGAGCAUAUGACAGGGCUGAUGUUCGCUUCAGCGCAAUGAAAGAUGUUAUUUAUUCUGACUCUACUUUGCUUCCUAUACAUAUAUUUUACCUACAACUGAAACAAAGGUACUAUUUUGUGCUUCAUAUGUAAAUCUUGGUCCACUCACUAGAGCAGUUCAUAUUUCAAUUUAUGUUGAAGAGGAAUACAUGAAUCUAUCUUAUUCAAAGAAUGUCAACAGUGGUUGAUGAAAACGUUAUUGAUUUAGGCUUGAGGAUUUUAGAGCCUAAAGUACAUGAUUCGAAAAGUGAUAUACUAGCUAAAUUUUGUGAUUCUCUUCAAGUUCUAUUCUUUUUCAGUUAAAUAUAUUGGAAUACUUGGUAUAUGCAACAGCUAUAUGAUUCCAUUGGGAUCUAUUCUGAAACCUUUCUCCAUUUGGAUUUGUGAUAACAAGAAGUCUCAGAAAUGAAAAUAGGGUGUACGUUGUACUGAUGACAGUGUAGCUGUUUGUGUUCUAAUCAGAGAUUAUUCUUGCAUAGCUGGUUCAGUUAAAUAUUCCAAGGUUGUGUAUGUUCUUCGAACCAAGUUCAUUUCAAUAUGAAAAACUUUAUUGCAGGUUCUCUUAUAAUACCUCUCCGGGCAUGUCAUUGGCAAUUUAAAGAUUUGCUUCUAUUGUUUCUGAGCCAUUGCUAGAAGUGGUUCAGAAGUUUACAAGGUUGGAAUAUGAAGCUAUGCUCGAAUUUCUCGAGAAGGUCUUAAGCCUAAUCUCUCGUCCACUACUACAAUCGUACGCCUCCACUUGAUGCGUUGCUCUGAUUCAAACCUCUGCUUUGCUGCUCUGAGGGUCGGUUCUUGUCUCACCAUCUCGCGUGCUUUGCUCAUGUGCUCAUCUCUCCGUGUUAAGGUUUGCUUGUUUCUUUCUCUCCACAUGGUGUGUUUUUUGUUGCACUUGGUUUACUGAUUGUUGUUGUGUGGCGUGUUCGGUUCUUCUAUUUCUUAUUGUUUUAUGAUGCUCGAUGGGACGCGCACUGUUAUUUCCUUUGUUAUCUAUUUACUUUAUCUGGAUGCUCCUAGAGAAUACUUACUUCCUAUUCUUUAUAAUAAAUGGAAACACUUCAGUUAUAUCCUAGAACAUAGCAUGGUUAAUUGGUACUUGUACUACGUAAUGGGUGCUUUUUUUACCUUGUGGGGGAUAUGAGAGAGUUUUUCGUUCUACUCCAUUAACUUUAUAUAUACAAUACUGUCAUUUCAAGAUUUUAAGGAGUAUGUACUGUAAUACAACUCAAUCUUGCUAAUUCCACUUUGAGAUGAACCUGUAUUUCGUCUCUUAGGAUUGUAAAAUAUCACCAAUAGAUCAUCAAAAUGAAUUUGGGAGUUUCAUCUAUGUAACCUAACCUUGGCACACAAAUUUAGCUCUUCAGGUUGGUAGAGAACCUAAUUUUACACAGUAAUGGUAAUAAUCAAUGCAUCUCUAUUCAUAUAGUCUCCCCAUUUUGGAAGCACACUAAUUUGUUUGACGUAAAAUGUAAACUGAACUUUAUGCACCCCUUUAUGAAUAGCUGGAGCUAUAAUCAUUCUCAUUUCGAUUCAACUUGAGUACAGGGUUGAUCACCCACCAUCCAGUGUGAGAUUAGAGGCAAUGCAGCGAGCUGAAGUUAUCUAUUGCAGAAAAGAUGAGUAGUUCAUGGCAUGUUUCCCAAAGAGCCAUAAGAGCAAUGAGUAGAUUUCCGUCUUGUACUAACUUGUAUAUGUAGUGAUUUAGCAAAGAUAGAUGAUCCUACUACUGUACAAUUAAGCAUUGGCAAGUUUAAUUGGAGGGUUUUUUUUCUUGUAUCAA